GACGAACGCUGGCGGCGUGCCUAAUACAUGCAAGUAGAACAGUUGCGAACGGGUGAGUAACGCGUAGGUAACUGCCUCAUAGCGGGGGAUAACUAUUGGAAAGGAUAGCUAUUACCGCAUAUGGUGAGAUAGACCUGAGUUGUAUUAGCUAGUUGGCGCGGCAAAGGCUCAACAAGGCCACGAUACAUAGCCGACUUGAGAGGGUGAUCCGCCACACUGGGACGGAGACACGGCCCAGACGUCUACGGGAGGGAGCAGUAGGGAAUUUUCGGCAAUGGACGGAAGUCUUACCGAGCAACUCCGCGUGAGUGAAGAAGGUUUUCGGAGUGUAAAGCUCUGUUGUUAGAGAAGCGUUAACUAACCAGAAAGGGCCGGCUAACUACGUGCCAGCAGCCGCGGUAAUUC
RNAcentral lists this ribosomal RNA (405 nucleotides) under uncultured bacterium. RNAcentral's name for it is "partial 16S ribosomal RNA". It matches the Rfam family "Bacterial small subunit ribosomal RNA", at positions 28 to 526 of the family's 1533-position model. The record is from RNAcentral.